This 497-nucleotide ribosomal RNA is filed under the name uncultured bacterium. RNAcentral's name for it is "partial 16S ribosomal RNA". It matches the Rfam family "Bacterial small subunit ribosomal RNA", at positions 28 to 507 of the family's 1533-position model. The record is from RNAcentral.
GACGAACGCUGGCGGCGUGCCUAAUACAUGCAAGUUGAGCGAUGAAGAUUGGUGCUUGCACCAAUUUGAAGAGCAGCGAACGGGUGAGUAACGCGUGGGGAAUCUGCCUUUGAGCGGGGGACAACAUUUGGAAACGAAUGCUAAUACCGCAUAAUAACUUUAAACAUAAGUUUUAAGUUUGAAAGAUGCAAUUGCAUCACUCAAAGAUGAUCCCGCGUUGUAUUAGCUAGUUGGUGAGGUAAAGGCUCACCAAGGCGAUGAUACAUAGCCGACCUGAGAGGGUGAUCGGCCACAUUGGGACUGAGACACGGCCCAAACUCCUACGGGAGGCAGCAGUAGGGAAUCUUCGGCAAUGGACGAAAGUCUGACCGAGCAACGCCGCGUGAGUGAAGAAGGUUGUCGGAUCGGAAAACUCUGUUGGUAGAGAAGAACGUUGGUGAGAGUGGAAAGCUCAUCAAGUGACGGUAACUACACAGAAAGGGACGGCUAACUACGUG